RNAcentral lists this ribosomal RNA (444 nucleotides) under uncultured bacterium. RNAcentral's name for it is "bacterial SSU rRNA". It matches the Rfam family "Bacterial small subunit ribosomal RNA", at positions 338 to 795 of the family's 1533-position model. The record is from RNAcentral.
CCUACGGGUUGCAGCAGUGGGGAAUCUUGGACAAUGGGCGAAAGCCCGAUCCAGCAAUAUCGCGUGAGUGAAGAAGGGCAAUGCCGCUUGUAAAGCUCUUUCGUCGAGUGCGCGAUCAUGACAGGACUCGAGGAAGAAGCCCCGGCUAACUUCGUGCCAGCAGCCGCGGUAAUACGAAGGGGGCUAGCGUUGCUCGGAAUGACUGGGCGUAAAGGGCGCGUAGGCGGUUUAUGCAGUCAGAUGUGAAAUCCCCGGGCUUAACCUGGGAACUGCAUUUGAGACGCAUAGACUAGAGGUCGAGAGAGGGUUGUGGAAUUCCCAGUGUAGAGGUGAAAUUCGUAGAUAUUGGGAAGAACACCGGUGGCGAAGGCGGCCCCCUGGACGAAGACUGACGCUCAGGUGCGAAAGCGUGGGGAGCAAACAGGAUUAGAUACCCCAGUAGUC